This 461-nucleotide ribosomal RNA is filed under the name uncultured bacterium. RNAcentral's name for it is "partial 16S ribosomal RNA". It matches the Rfam family "Bacterial small subunit ribosomal RNA", at positions 338 to 795 of the family's 1533-position model. The record is from RNAcentral.
CCUACGUGUGGCAGCAGUGAGGAAUAUUGGUCAAUGGACGCAAGUCUGAACCAGCCAAGUAGCGUGCAGGAUGACGGCCCUCCGGGUUGUAAACUGCUUUUAGUUGGGAAUAAAAGGGGGCUCGUGAGCCCCGUAUUGUAUGUACCAUCAGAAAAAGGACCGGCUAAUUCCGUGCCAGCAGCCGCGGUAAUACGGAAGGUCCGGGCGUUAUCCGGAUUUAUUGGGUUUAAAGGGUGCGUAGGCGGGCUUUUAAGUCAGCGGUAAAAAUUCGGGGCUCAACCCCGUCCGGCCGUUGAAACUGGGGGCCUUGAGUGGGCGAGAAGAAGGCGGAAUGCGUGGUGUAGCGGUGAAAUGCAUAGAUAUCACGCAGAACCCCGAUUGCGAAGGCAGCCUUCCGGCGCCCUACUGACGCUGAGGCACGAAAGUGCGGGGAUCGAACAGGAUUAGAUACCCCGGUAGUC